CUACCCCUGAAUGGUGGAUAACCCUCCGAAAGGAGGGCUAAUACAGCAUAAGACCACGGCCUCUCUGGAGGCUGGGGCCAAAGCGGGCCACUUCAUGAAAGCUCGCGUUUGGGGAUGAGCCUGCGGCCCAUCAGCUAGUUGGCGGUGUAACGGACCACCAAGGCUAAGACGGGUAGCUGGUCUGAGAGGAUGGCCAGCCACAUUGGGACUGAGACACGGCCCAG
Molecule: ribosomal RNA, 224 nt
Filed under: uncultured bacterium
Lineage: Bacteria
Description: partial 16S ribosomal RNA
Rfam family: Bacterial small subunit ribosomal RNA
Source: RNAcentral